GGCUUGGUAGCUCAGUUGGUUAGAGCAUCCAGCCCGGAUAGUGGAAGGUCUCUGGUUCGAUCCCAGACCAGGUCA
RNAcentral lists this transfer RNA (75 nucleotides) under Schizophyllum commune H4-8. Its description in RNAcentral is "tRNA-Ser (GGA) (tRNA-Ser-GGA-1-1)". Lineage: Eukaryota; Fungi; Basidiomycota; Agaricomycetes; Agaricales; Schizophyllaceae. The record is from RNAcentral.